AUGUACCAAGCGUCCACUGCGGUUGUGAGCGCGCCGUCCGCGCCCACCUGACAGCUGCCCGCUACGUUUUGUUAGCC
Molecule: small RNA, 77 nt
Filed under: Xanthomonas oryzae
Lineage: Bacteria; Pseudomonadati; Pseudomonadota; Gammaproteobacteria; Lysobacterales; Lysobacteraceae
Also listed under: 1 other name
Description: sX9
Rfam family: Xanthomonas sRNA sX9
Source: RNAcentral